RNAcentral lists this ribosomal RNA (497 nucleotides) under uncultured bacterium. RNAcentral describes it as "partial 16S ribosomal RNA". It matches the Rfam family "Bacterial small subunit ribosomal RNA", at positions 28 to 507 of the family's 1533-position model. The record is from RNAcentral.
GAUGAACGCUGGCGGCGUGCCUAAUACAUGCAAGUCGAACGCUGAGGGAAGGAGCUUGCUCUUUCCGGGUGAGUUGCGAACGGGUGAGUAACGCGUAGGUAACCUGCCUGGUAGCGGGGGAUAACUACUGGAAACGGUAGCUAAUACCGCAUAACAGAAUAUGUUGCAUGAUUUCUUCUUAAAAGGUGCAAUUGCUCCACUAUCAGAUGGACUUGCGUGGUCUUAGGUAGUUGGUGAGGUUACGGCCCACCCAGGCGAAGAUACAUAGCCGACCUGAGGGGGGGAUCGGCCACACUGGGACUGGGACACGGCCCAGACUCCUACGGGGGGCAGCAGGAGGGGAUCCUCGGCAAUGGACGGAAGUCUGACCGGGCCACGCCGCGUGGGGGAAGAAGGGUUUCGGAUCGUAAAGCUCUGUUGUAAGGGAAGGAAGAGAGUGAGAGUGGAAAGUUCACACUGUGACGGUAUCUUACCAGAAAGGGACGGCUAACUACGUG